GCCCCGCCCCCUCCCAGUGGCUCAUUGUUCAGCCCUGGGAGGGGGAGGAUGAUGGGGAGGGAGCCAGCCAGGAGGUGCGCGCCCCGAUGAUCUCCAUGGAGACGUGGGGGCGCGGCCCUAGCGGGGCCUGGCCUCCAGCCCCUUCCCUUUCGGUCUUGGCACCCAACAUCCGCAGAGGACCGGGCCCUGGGAGCGUGGCGCUCAACUACUGCUCUAGAGUCCCGGGCCGCGGCUGCUAAAGAGUCCCUCGUACAGUUUCCUCUGGGCCGAGUGCUGUUCAAUCCUCGCAUUGCACCUGAUAGUGCAGAUCUAUGACCUGGCUUCUCGGGAGAUACCAGGACGGGCUUAUUUUCCUGCUAGUGAGGCGCCACAACCAGCCCAAACACUGGCAGCACCGUUUCUAUCUCUUCCCUGGACCCCUGCAUAGGCACCUCCUGGGACUGGAUCCCUCGGAUGUCCCCUGAGAUGCCAGCCCCUGAUUCACCUGUGUAACUUUUUAAAAAGUCCAGGCUCUAGAAAAGAUCUGGAAGAAUCCAAGGUGUAACAGCUGGGCACCUAUGCAGAAAUGGAGUCUGCACUGACUGGAAAUGAGUUUGCCUCCUUAGGUCCCUAGUACACCUUGCACAGGGCCCAUCUCCAGGCUGCACUGACCCCUAGUGGCUAAACUAUGUCUCUACACCUCAGAACAUCCUAUUCCAUACAAGGACCCACCUACCGAGGUGUGUGCAAAGACAGUAGCCUCUGGGCUCCAGUAACAAGAACAGUAGCCUCUGGGCUCCAGGCUGCAGCACUGAGAGUCACACUCCACAUGGUGUGUGCACUUAAAGGGACUCAGUCCUGCACCUCAAGUAUUCCGUGAACACGCAGCCGCAUACUGCUGGGAUCCCUGAGCCCCCAGUUCAACGGUUCUCAGUCCUACUGUAGACAGUGGCAAACUAAGGUUCCGGGUGUACUGUCAGAGCUCAUCGCUAGACCCAGGGACAGAAAGUGAAGAGUCAAACCGUAUGCUAAUGCGCCUGGAAGGGGGUCAGCUGCGACAGCAAAGGGAACCCACAGAGAGAGUCAACUGGAAACCGCAGGAAGAAGACAAGCCAUGUGCAAUUGGAACAGCAUCCACCCUGCCUAUGCCACAGAACCAAGCAUCCCUGUUCCUGUCACUAGUGUUACUGCCCCCCUGGCCCCCAACAAAUGCACACUCUUGAGGUUACAUGGAAAAGUAGCGCUACCUUGAUUGACAACAUCCCUUCCCUACGCACCUCUUGCUUGCACGGAGACAGGUUUGUUUAAGACUUGCUAUAGUGUGGUAUUGGUGACUGGUGAGGUGACAGUCUCCGGCUACCACUGUGGUUCUAACGGUUUUGCUUUCGGCACAAGAAGUUUUGUAAGUAAGAUCUUAACAUCCUGAAGAGGGAAGAUGGACCCUUGUGUGGCCAUGACUUUACCUUUUCUUAAGUUCAUGACUGGGUCAGUGAGCGUAUUCACCGUCAAUUCCACACUUUUGUCACCCAGAGGAAACCUCCAAUCAAGCGCAAUCUUCCACACCCUAAUCCCCCUCCCCCCUCAGACCUGCUGGCCAACCUCCUGUCUGGAUCGGUCUCUCAAGACUUGCCUGUGCCUGGCCUCUGUCCCUCAGUGCAGCCUCAGUUCUUAACCCUUCCCUGAAGGCUUAGUCUCAGUGGCGUGGGUGUUUCACAGUCCAAUUAGUCAGUUAUCAGUGGACUGAGACGCAUUGACUCUACUUGUUAAAAAUAAUUAAUUAUGAUCAUUAUUAAUUAAUAAGUGUUGCUAAUUAUUAAUUAAUGUUGAUUGUUUGGAGUUAUCUCCUCCCCCUUUCUUUUUUGCUUCCUUGUUCCUUCCCCCUUUUCUUUCCUUCCCCU
Long non-coding RNA from Mus musculus (house mouse), 1877 nucleotides. RefSeq annotates it as predicted gene, 34764. The record is from RefSeq and is a predicted model, not a curated record. The transcript has 3 exons. NCBI's taxonomy places the organism in Eukaryota, Metazoa, Chordata, Mammalia, Rodentia, Muridae.